GAACGAAGGAGAGAUGGAAGCUUGCUUCUAUGGAUCCUAGUGGCGAACGGGUGAGUAACGCGUAAUCAACCUGCCCUUCAGAGGGGGACAACAGUUGGAAACGACUGCUAAUACCGCAUACGAUCCAAUCUCGGCAUCGAGAGUGGAUGAAAGGUGGCCUCUAUUUAUAAGCUAUCACUGAAGGAGGGGAUUGCGUCUGAUUAGCUAGUUGGAGGGGUAACGGCCCACCAAGGCGAUGAUCAGUAGCCGGUCUGAGAGGAUGAACGGCCACAUUGGGACUGAGACACGGCCCAGACUCCUACGGGAGGCAGCAGUGGGGAAUCUUCCGCAAUGGACGAAAGUCUGACGGAGCAACGCCGCGUGAGUGAUGACGGCCUUCGGGUUGUAAAGCUCUGUUAAUCGGGACGAAUGGUUCUUGUGCAAAUAGUGCGAGGAUUUGACGGUACCGGAAUAGAAAGCCACGGCUAACUACGUGCCAGCAGCCGCGGUAAUACGUAGGUGGCAAGCGUUGUCCGGAAUUAUUGGGCGUAAAGCGCGCGCAGGCGGAUUGGUCAGUCUGUCUUAAAAGUUCGGGGCUUAACCCCGUGAUGGGAUGGAAACUGCCAAUCUAGAGUAUCGGAGAGGAAAGUGGAAUUCCUAGUGUAGCGGUGAAAUGCGUAGAUAUUAGAAGAACACCAGUGGCGAAGGCGACUUUCUGGACGAAAACUGACGCUGAGGCGCGAAAGCCAGGGGAAGCGAACGGGAUUAGAUACCCCGGUA
This 759-nucleotide ribosomal RNA is filed under the name uncultured bacterium. RNAcentral's name for it is "bacterial SSU rRNA". It matches the Rfam family "Bacterial small subunit ribosomal RNA", at positions 64 to 792 of the family's 1533-position model. The record is from RNAcentral.